This 431-nucleotide ribosomal RNA is filed under the name uncultured Erythrobacteraceae bacterium. RNAcentral describes it as "bacterial SSU rRNA". It matches the Rfam family "Bacterial small subunit ribosomal RNA", at positions 29 to 505 of the family's 1533-position model. Lineage: Bacteria; Pseudomonadati; Pseudomonadota; Alphaproteobacteria; Sphingomonadales; Erythrobacteraceae. The record is from RNAcentral.
AACGAACGCUGGCGGCAUGCCUAACACAUGCAAGUCGAACGAACCCUUCGGGGUUAGUGGCGCACGGGUGCGUAACGCGUGGGAACCUGCCUUUAGGUCCGGGAUAACAGUUGGAAACGACUGCUAAUACCGGAUGAUGUCUUCGGACCAAAGAUUUAUCGCCUUUAGAUGGGCCCGCGUUGGAUUAGCUAGUUGGUGGGGUAAAGGCCUACCAAGGCGACGAUCCAUAGCUGGUCUGAGAGGAUGAUCAGCCACACUGGGACUGAGACACGGCCCAGACUCCUACGGGAGGCAGCAGUGGGGAAUAUUGGACAAUGGGCGAAAGCCUGAUCCAGCAAUGCCGCGUGAGUGAUGAAGGCCUUAGGGUUGUAAAGCUCUUUUACUGGGGAUGAUAAUGACAGUACCCAGAGAAUAAGCUCCGGCUAACUCCG